RNAcentral lists this ribosomal RNA (429 nucleotides) under Actinomycetes bacterium. RNAcentral's name for it is "Actinobacteria bacterium partial 16S ribosomal RNA". It matches the Rfam family "Bacterial small subunit ribosomal RNA", at positions 355 to 776 of the family's 1533-position model. The record is from RNAcentral. Lineage: Bacteria; Bacillati; Actinomycetota; Actinomycetes. RNAcentral also lists the same sequence under 1 other name.
UAGGGAAUCUUCCGCAAUGGGCGAAAGCCUGACGGAGCAACGCCGCGUGAGUGAUGAAGGUCUUCGUAUCGUAAAACUCUGUUAUUAGGGAAGAACAAAUGUGUAAGUAACUAUGCACGUCUUGACGGUACCUAAUCAGAAAGCCACGGCUAACUACGUGCCAGCAGCCGCGGUAAUACGUAGGUGGCAAGCGUUAUCCGGAAUUAUUGGGCGUAAAGCGCGCGUAGGCGGUUUUUUAAGUCUGAUGUGAAAGCCCACGGCUCAACCGUGGAGGGUCAUUGGAAACUGGAAAACUUGAGUGCAGAAGAGGAAAGUGGAAUUCCAUGUGUAGCGGUGAAAUGCGCAGAGAUAUGGAGGAACACCAGUGGCGAAGGCGACUUUCUGGUCUGUAACUGACGCUGAUGUGCGAAAGCGUGGGGAUCAAACAGG